Molecule: non-coding RNA, 2272 nt
Organism: Lonchura striata (white-rumped munia)
Lineage: Eukaryota; Metazoa; Chordata; Aves; Passeriformes; Estrildidae
Source: RefSeq, a predicted model, not a curated record
AGCUCCGGCAUCCCUGCAGCAGAGCAGGGCUGUGUGAGCCUCACGCUUAGCAGGAUCAGUGAAGGAGCUCCGGCAUCCCCGCAGCAGAGCAGGGCUGUGUGAGCCUCACGCUUAGCAGGAUCAGUGAGCGCAGGAGCCGCGCAGAUUAUGGGAUGUGUGUGCUAGGCAAUGCGGAGCGUUCCACCAGCCCCUCUCUGCCGUGCUGUGUGCGGUCUGUAAAAGAGAUGGCAGUUUCUGGGAUUUUAUUAAGAAGCUUUUUGUCUUCUUUCUAUUGUCUCUGUAAGCACCAGUGUGAAGCAUUCCAAUCUGUUUGCCAGCCUGGCAGUUUUAUGUUUCCUGAAUCUGCUGGGAAAAAGUGGGAAACCACAGAAACCCAGGAUUCCUCUGGCAUCACAUUGGUUUGUUCUUGUCAGCAUAUCUAAUCAUUCUUCUGCUAAAGAAUCGUGGAGUGAGGUGAUCUUAGCAAUGAUUUACGCUGCUUGGGGCUUUAUUGAUUUUUUUUUUUCUUUAGUGAGAACGUAAGAAAAGGAAUGAAGGAAGGAUGAUACGGUUUGUAAAGAAAAUAAUUCAGUGUACAUUUCAAGUGUAGUGGCUGUUAAAUAUGUAGACAUAUAUAUGAUACUUUAUGCAGUUAUAAAAACAAAAGGUCUCUUUGCCUCAGGGUAUGAUUUCUCUUACAGCAACAGGUAGCAAAGGCUCCUCUGCCCCCUUUUCUCCCCUUAUCGCCUCCUUUUCAGCUCCUCCUGAUAAAAUGCGGUUUAAAAGGUCAGCUGGUUAUGUAAAUAGUGUGCCUUUUCUAACAAAGACCUCUGCGCAUCAAGCCUGCAAUGACUGUCAAAUAGAUUUGGGAUUCAAGACAUUCAAUAAUGGUACUGUCCGUUUUCUAAGAGUGAUAAAAUCUCGCAGAAAACAAAGGACGGACGUGGGAUGGAUCAACAGCGCCGGGGCGCCCAUGGGCAGCAGCAGCGUCACGGCAGAAUUUGGCUUCUUCUCUCUAGUGAUGUCCUAGGCUGAACUUGCUUUGCAGCUCCUUCACACCAAAGGUAGCUUCAAUCAGCCAAGGAGGAUUUUGCAUCCAACCAACCUCACCCUCCUAAUGAAAGAGAUUGACUUCAUUAGUCUGUGGCUCAGACACCUCACAAGAAGGUGGAGUUUCUAUUUCAUAGCAUCCAGAGGUGCAGUGGACACAGUCUGGUCUUUAUUUCACUGUGCUCUUUCUCUCCCUGCCUCCUUUCACCUACAGAGCAGGACAACUUGGUUUCCUCAGGGAGUAUCAACUCUUCUGGCUCUUUUCCACUUUAAAUUUAAUAAGAAUAUGCUGAUGUUAUUAACUUCACAGAGUCAUAGAAUUAUGGAAUAGUUCAUUUGCAAAGGGACCUUAAAGAUGUUCUAAUUCCAUGCACUUUCCACAUCCCACUAGAACAGACCGCUCAGAAAUGAUUAUGUCCAUUGCCAAAAGGUUAAAAAAGUUACUUUGGAAUUACAACACAGAUCUUUCCCUGUGGUCAACUCCAAGACCUAAUUGCCACCACAGUUUGAUUUGAGCCCUUAAAAUCAUUCUGAAGUAGAGUUAAAGGGUUGUAAAGGAUUAUGAUGCCUUUUGUUUGUGGUGUUAAUAAUCUGUGGCAUUAAAAUAUGAUAUAAAAUCUCAUUUUAGGGCAGCGUACUGAAGUCACAAACAAUGGAACAAAUUGCACUUGAGUGAGGCAGGAACUUACAUCACCACCAAAAAUGCUAAAUCCAGAUUGGGACUCUGUCUGCAGCAGAAUCAUGUGAGGGAGGAGUGGCACAUGACUUAGAGUCAUUAGAGUCCUUUGUCCUGUAAAUCUGUAUUUAACAGCAGUGUAUAUCUGCGUUGGUAAACACCUUUUAACAGUUUAUCCCAUAACUUUUAUUUUUCCUACUUCAUAUGAUCAACCUUUUAAUCCUCUUUCUUCCAGAACCUGCUAAGUGCUUCUCUUUAACUACAGAAAAAUGUAAUUUAUUAAGGCAGUUCAGUAGUUAGUCUUACUUUGGAACAGGCAAAACUAUUAUGCAAACAACACUGUCACCUUCUUGCAGUGACUUCCUUCUCCAAGCUUUAAUGAAUUCCCUGCAUGCUACUCUGCUGUAAAUUCUCCAUCUAAAAAUUCCAUCCACUAUGUGAUGUGUCAGGGGAAACCACACUUGACUUUUGAAACAGUUGGGAGGAGCAGAAUGAUAACCUACUAAAGUGCCUUGCCCUUAACAGAAAUUAUGGCAAGCAAUUAAAGUUAGAGCAAAAAGACUUAAG